UAAAGUGGCGACCGGGUGGGUAACACGUGACUAACCUACCCCUCGAGUGGGGAAUAACUCCGGGAAACCGGGGCUAAUACCGCAUAACAUCUUCGGAACGCGAGUUCUGUUAAUCAAAGGAGCAAUUCGCUUGAGGAGGGAGUCGCGGCUGAUUAGCUAGUUGGCGGGGUAAUGGCCCACCAAGGCUUAGAUCGGUAGCCGGCCUGAGAGGGCGCACGGCCACACUGGAACUGAAACACGGUCCAG
Molecule: ribosomal RNA, 246 nt
Filed under: uncultured bacterium
Lineage: Bacteria
Description: partial 16S ribosomal RNA
Rfam family: Bacterial small subunit ribosomal RNA
Source: RNAcentral